AACGCUACUCUAUCCUAUUGCAUGCCAUCGGCCAACAUUUGUAACUGAAUAAUAUUCGGCUUUUUCAUUACUACAUCUUUCUCCGUUUCUUUUCAUCGCCAAACCACUUUAUUCAGUUCCAACGAGAUCUAUUGCUUUUGGACCAGAAAAUUCAGAAACAAAUUGAAAUCUUUUGCAUUUCUCUGAAAUUACAGCAAGAUGCUUCAUUAGCUCGAAAAAGCUCUAGCUUUUUGAUUCAACAUGAUUGUGUUGUUCUUGUGGUUAAUUGAUUUAUUUUUUUUAAAUAUUAAUCUCGCUUUCUUAAGAUCUAAGUGUUUGUGUUGUUUUAUGUUAGGACCUCAUGUCUUUCUGUGAACACCCGUUCCCUCAUACUCUAGUUAAGAUGUCUACAGAAGUUGGAAGAGAGCUAAGGGAUUAGGUUUUGUCCUCUUCUUCGUUUUGUUUGAGUUCCUGCAUAUACUUUUUUUUUCAUUCUCUCCACUCCGUAAACUCUGUUAUACGUAUCUAUUUGACAUGUUCACCAUUAGUUUGCUUAGACAAGACAUGAAGCAGAUCAUAAUCAACUUGGAGACCUCUGAAAUCUACUCACUGGAUAAAACUGGACAUAAAGAUGCCAUUGCAAAGGCAUCAAAAAAGAGAAUGUCUUGUUGCAGAUAAUUAAUGGAAAAGCUCAUGUAAAGUAUUCUGGUGGGAAAUUUGAUGCUUUAUCUUUGAUCACUGAUGGAAAUUACUUGUUUAUGCGUUUGAUGACGAUAUAAAGCACGUCUUCUUAGAGCCAGCUGUUGGUUGUGUUGCAGUCAGUCGUUGUAUGGUUAACUCUUGGGUUUUGAUGUAAUGAUGAAUGUUCUUGAUUUAUGUAUAGAUUAACAAAAUAAUAUAGCUGGUUAAUGUAAGUUUAAUCUGAAAUUACUAUAAAUUAUUCAGUUAUAAUA
Brassica napus (rape) is the source of this 932-nucleotide long non-coding RNA. RefSeq lists it as uncharacterized. The record is from RefSeq and is a predicted model, not a curated record. Lineage: Eukaryota; Viridiplantae; Streptophyta; Magnoliopsida; Brassicales; Brassicaceae. The transcript has 2 exons.